Molecule: ribosomal RNA, 871 nt
Filed under: uncultured bacterium
Lineage: Bacteria
Description: bacterial SSU rRNA
Rfam family: Bacterial small subunit ribosomal RNA
Source: RNAcentral
ACACAUGCAAGUCGAGCGGAUGAAGGGAGCUUGCUUCCUGGAUUCAGCGGCGGACGGGUGAGUAAUGCCUAGGAAUCUGCCUGGUAGUGGGGGAUAACGUCCGGAAACGGGCGCUAAUACCGCAUACGUCCUGAGGGAGAAAGUGGGGGAUCUUCGGACCUCACGCUAUCAGAUGAGCCUAGGUCGGAUUAGCUAGUUGGUGGGGUAAAGGCCUACCAAGGCGACGAUCCGUAACUGGUCUGAGAGGAUGAUCAGUCACACUGGAACUGAGACACGGUCCAGACUCCUACGGGAGGCAGCAGUGGGGAAUAUUGGACAAUGGGCGAAAGCCUGAUCCAGCCAUGCCGCGUGUGUGAAGAAGGUCUUCGGAUUGUAAAGCACUUUAAGUUGGGAGGAAGGGCAGUAAGUUAAUACCUUGCUGUUUUGACGUUACCAACAGAAUAAGCACCGGCUAACUUCGUGCCAGCAGCCGCGGUAAUACGAAGGGUGCAAGCGUUAAUCGGAAUUACUGGGCGUAAAGCGCGCGUAGGUGGUUCAGCAAGUUGGAUGUGAAAUCCCCGGGCUCAACCUGGGAACUGCAUCCAAAACUACUGAGCUAGAGUACGGUAGAGGGUGGUGGAAUUUCCUGUGUAGCGGUGAAAUGCGUAGAUAUAGGAAGGAACACCAGUGGCGAAGGCGACCACCUGGACUGAUACUGACACUGAGGUGCGAAAGCGUGGGGAGCAAACAGGAUUAGAUACCCUGGUAGUCCACGCCGUAAACGAUGUCGACUAGCCGUUGGGAUCCUUGAGAUCUUAGUGGCGCAGCUAACGCGAUAAGUCGACCGCCUGGGGAGUACGGCCGCAAGGUAAAACUCAAAGGAAUUGACGGC